RNAcentral lists this ribosomal RNA (406 nucleotides) under uncultured bacterium. RNAcentral describes it as "partial 16S ribosomal RNA". It matches the Rfam family "Bacterial small subunit ribosomal RNA", at positions 30 to 526 of the family's 1533-position model. The record is from RNAcentral.
AUUGAACGCUGGCGGCAGGCCUAACACAUGCAAGUCGAGCGAGCGGCGGAUGCGUGAGUAAAGUCUGUGAAACUGUCUGAUGGAGGGGGAUAACACCUGGGAACGGUAGCUAAUACCGCAUAUCACCAGAUGUGCCCAGAGGGGAGUAGCUAGUAGGUGGGGUAAUGGCUCACCAAGGCGACGAUCCCUAGCUGGUCUGAGAGGAUGACCAGCCACACUGGAACUGAGACACGGUCCAGACUCCUAUGGGAGGCAGCAGUGGGGAAUAUUGCACAAUGGGCGCAAGCCUGAUGCAGCCAUGCCGCGUGUGUGAAGAAGGCCUUCGGGUUGUAAAGCACUUUCAGCGGGGAGGCGUUACCCGCAGAAGAAGCACCGGCUAACUCCGUGCCAGCAGCCGCGGUAAUAC